UGCUGGCAGCCCUGCCCAUCAUCUGAAGGCGCUGAACAGUGUCGCCCUUCGGCUCUGCCUCCAGGUGAUCAGAAACAAGAUAAACAAACCAAAUGACAGAUAAGAGUGAAUCAAGCUACAGAGUAAAGUGUUUUAAAGGCUUCUAGCUGUGGGAAGACUCUAUCUCCUGCUCUGUGGAUGUUGGAUGUGGCCUGAAUCACCUCUGAACAGGAUCUUCAAGAGUCAGUUUGUGGUCCAUCGUCUUUCCUAUUCCCAUCCCUUGAAACCCGUGAUGUCCCAUGUCGGGCUGUACUUUCAGAGUACAGAGAGCAUGGAACCGAGCUUCAGCCGGCCCGUGAUGGGCAUGUGGCACAAACUACAAGUACAUCUUUGUUGUUCCGAGUCACUGGCACUGUUGCUAUUGCCACAGUGUAGCACAAACUCAGGUGACUGACAUUGCACCCAAAUGAGUGCCACCUGUCACAUCUGACUUCCCCGAGAAAUCAAAGUAAUCCAUACACAGGAUUUCUGCCUUUAUCAAAAGAACAGCUAGGAAGCCAUAGAUGGAGGUUAAGCUGAGGUAUGACACAUUCAAGUUUAUGCUUAAAAAGAUUGUCUGGCUUCAGGGUGGAGACAGGGUUGGAGGAGAGGACAAGAUGGGGGUGGGCACAUGUUUUAGGAGGCCAGUGAGGGAACAGACGCAAGAGAUGAUGGUGGCUUGGAGCUUGAAGGCAGUGAUGACAAGAGGUGUUUAGUGGAAAACUGGUGAUGGAGGCAGAGGGAGGUGUGCCCUUGACUGGAGAGGAGAUGCGAUGUUCACACAAAUGGGGAAGCUGCAGAAGGAGGAGUUGGGAAUCAUAGAGAAGAGCGAAGGGUCCUGAGCUCUAUCACAAACAGCUCGCUGCUGACGGGGACCUGAGACCUCCAAGCAGGUUACUUGGGUGUCUGGCUCUACCUUCUCAGAUAAAUUUCUCGGCAGGACAGGAAACGCUGUCUACAAAGGCACCUGAUGUCGUCUGAGGUUUUGGCAAGCCUGUGCUCAGAUGAGUGUCCUGUCAAUACUUUUUUAGUAUUUUUUUAUUCCUGUAUUGAAUAACAAUGAGUAAGCCUAUUACUUUUUUUUAAUCUAGACAACAAGUAUGUGGCUCACCUGAUGUUCAUUUUUGCAUUUCUGACAAAAGUGGGAAAUAGUCUUCUUUUGUAACAACUACAGAGCAGACCAGGCAUUUAAAUGACUGCUCCACAAUCACAAGUGCACUUGACAGCAGUAUUGUGAUCGACCUUUGAGUCAUCCAAAGCAGUGUUGACCCAUCGGACGACAGCGUUCCCACUGGACCCGACUGCAGCCAAUACAACAUGGCAGAGACGACCACCGUGUGGGCUCUUCUGCGAGGACACUUCCUCAGCUGCGCCUUGAGCUGUUGCAGGUAGACCUAGUUAAUGAGGCGUAGAUGGUGAUUCAGAUACAAACCAGUCCAGAAUUAUCAGCAACAACAAGAUACAUCAUCUGAAACUUCUGGCUUGAAGUUUUCCAUAAUGUCUGGAUUGGUGAUGGUAGGUGAACAUGAUGUUAGAAGGUCACCAUUGGCUGGAAGACGUGCCUAAGGGAUCAAACAAAUACAAAGGAGGACAGAGCAAAAUUACCUUAAAGGAACAUAAAGAAAUAAGGGGAUUGAAAACUUUUCACCCAUGAGAACCGACGAGGUGAGAUACUGACCACACGACAUCCUAGUUAUUCCACGUCUCAUGUAGCUCUGAUGGCGUCCAGCACACCCCACCCAUGCACACACACCCUCCGGCCUGCCUUCGCUCGUGCUGCCUUCUCAGGGCUCAGUCUCAUCGCCCUUGCCUGGCUGUUCACUCCCUCUGCAGCUUUUGUGUUGUGGCCCUCAAACUGGCCAACCUGAAACAAGGCUUUUCCUUCCUCUGGGAAAUAUGCGGGGUCUCGCUUCCUCCCUUCAAUGUCCAACCUUGUCUUGUAUGCCAUCAGAACCACAUGCCUGCGGAGCCUAGAAUUCUGAGUGCCAUGUAAUAUUCUUUUCUGUUAACUGUCACUAACCACUAGUUGCUCCUUGGAAAUUACUGUGCUCCAUGGUGCAGCUGCCUAAUAUGACGGAGAGUUUUCUCCUCAGGGAUAUGGAUUCUGACAGAGACGUCGGCUUCACUGUAAGCUUUGAAGUAAAGAGAAUAAAAGUGUUUUUCUUCUAAAAGGUUGAUGUGCUUGCCUUGGUUGGUCAACAAUCUCCAGUCUUGGCUGUUCCCUUCAGUGUUGUGUUGCUGUGUGGAUUCCUCCAGAUGGACGUCAAAAGCAGUUUACAAAAGUGGUCACAUUUGGAAAC
Equus caballus (horse) is the source of this 2318-nucleotide long non-coding RNA. NCBI's taxonomy places the organism in Eukaryota, Metazoa, Chordata, Mammalia, Perissodactyla, Equidae. The record is from Ensembl.